Regulatory RNA element from Peptostreptococcus stomatis DSM 17678, 150 nucleotides. It matches the Rfam family "glmS glucosamine-6-phosphate activated ribozyme aptamer". Rfam says of the family: This entry contains a glucosamine-6-phosphate activated ribozyme that is found in the mRNA for GlmS. GlmS is an enzyme that uses fructose-6-phosphate and glutamine to generate glucosamine-6-phosphate. The record is from Rfam. NCBI's taxonomy places the organism in Bacteria, Bacillati, Bacillota, Clostridia, Peptostreptococcales, Peptostreptococcaceae.
CCCUUUCACUUAGCGCCAGACUGUAGAAAUACAGUUAACGAGGACAGGGUUAUCGAAAAUUCGGCGGAUGCCCUGCGGUGAACUAGCAUCGAUAGAAAAUUUAUAAAAAGCAGGAGUGAUCCUGUAACAGAGGACUUUUUCGUCUAGUAC